This 1532-nucleotide ribosomal RNA is filed under the name Klebsiella pneumoniae. Its description in RNAcentral is "bacterial SSU rRNA". It matches the Rfam family "Bacterial small subunit ribosomal RNA". Lineage: Bacteria; Pseudomonadati; Pseudomonadota; Gammaproteobacteria; Enterobacterales; Enterobacteriaceae. The record is from RNAcentral.
UUGAAGAGUUUGAUCAUGGCUCAGAUUGAACGCUGGCGGCAGGCCUAACACAUGCAAGUCGAGCGGUAGCACAGAGAGCUUGCUCUCGGGUGACGAGCGGCGGACGGGUGAGUAAUGUCUGGGAAACUGCCUGAUGGAGGGGGAUAACUACUGGAAACGGUAGCUAAUACCGCAUAAUGUCGCAAGACCAAAGUGGGGGACCUUCGGGCCUCAUGCCAUCAGAUGUGCCCAGAUGGGAUUAGCUAGUAGGUGGGGUAAUGGCUCACCUAGGCGACGAUCCCUAGCUGGUCUGAGAGGAUGACCAGCCACACUGGAACUGAGACACGGUCCAGACUCCUACGGGAGGCAGCAGUGGGGAAUAUUGCACAAUGGGCGCAAGCCUGAUGCAGCCAUGCCGCGUGUGUGAAGAAGGCCUUCGGGUUGUAAAGCACUUUCAGCGGGGAGGAAGGCGUUAAGGUUAAUAACCUUGGCGAUUGACGUUACCCGCAGAAGAAGCACCGGCUAACUCCGUGCCAGCAGCCGCGGUAAUACGGAGGGUGCAAGCGUUAAUCGGAAUUACUGGGCGUAAAGCGCACGCAGGCGGUCUGUCAAGUCGGAUGUGAAAUCCCCGGGCUCAACCUGGGAACUGCAUUCGAAACUGGCAGGCUAGAGUCUUGUAGAGGGGGGUAGAAUUCCAGGUGUAGCGGUGAAAUGCGUAGAGAUCUGGAGGAAUACCGGUGGCGAAGGCGGCCCCCUGGACAAAGACUGACGCUCAGGUGCGAAAGCGUGGGGAGCAAACAGGAUUAGAUACCCUGGUAGUCCACGCCGUAAACGAUGUCGAUUUGGAGGUUGUGCCCUUGAGGCGUGGCUUCCGGAGCUAACGCGUUAAAUCGACCGCCUGGGGAGUACGGCCGCAAGGUUAAAACUCAAAUGAAUUGACGGGGGCCCGCACAAGCGGUGGAGCAUGUGGUUUAAUUCGAUGCAACGCGAAGAACCUUACCUGGUCUUGACAUCCACAGAACUUAGCAGAGAUGCUUUGGUGCCUUCGGGAACUGUGAGACAGGUGCUGCAUGGCUGUCGUCAGCUCGUGUUGUGAAAUGUUGGGUUAAGUCCCGCAACGAGCGCAACCCUUAUCCUUUGUUGCCAGCGGUCCGGCCGGGAACUCAAAGGAGACUGCCAGUGAUAAACUGGAGGAAGGUGGGGAUGACGUCAAGUCAUCAUGGCCCUUACGACCAGGGCUACACACGUGCUACAAUGGCAUAUACAAAGAGAAGCGACCUCGCGAGAGCAAGCGGACCUCAUAAAGUAUGUCGUAGUCCGGAUUGGAGUCUGCAACUCGACUCCAUGAAGUCGGAAUCGCUAGUAAUCGUAGAUCAGAAUGCUACGGUGAAUACGUUCCCGGGCCUUGUACACACCGCCCGUCACACCAUGGGAGUGGGUUGCAAAAGAAGUAGGUAGCUUAACCUUCGGGAGGGCGCUUACCACUUUGUGAUUCAUGACUGGGGUGAAGUCGUAACAAGGUAACCGUAGGGGAACCUGCGGUUGGAUCACCU